UUGAACGCUGGCGGCAUGCUUUACACAUGCAAGUCGAACGCGGUUCGGGGGCAACCCCGGACUGAGUGGCGAACGGGUGAGUAAUGCAUCGGAACGUACCCCGUCGUGGGGGAUAACCAGUCGAAAGACUGGCUAAUACCGCAUACGACCUGAGGGUGAAAGCGGGGGACCGGAAGGCCUCGCGCGAUGGGAGCGGCCGAUGCCGGAUUAGCUAGUAGGUAGGGUAAAGGCCUACCUAGGCGACGAUCCGUAGCUGGUCUGAGAGGAUGAUCAGCCACACUGGGACUGAGACACGGCCCAGACUCCUACGGGAGGCAGCAGUGGGGAAUUUUGGACAAUGGGGGCAACCCUGAUCCAGCCAUGCCGCGUGAGUGAAGAAGGCCUUCGGGUUGUAAAGCUCUUUCGGCCGGAACGAAAUCGCACGGGCCAAUACCUUGUGUGGAUGACGGUACCGGAAGAAGAAGCACCGGCUAACUACGU
This 480-nucleotide ribosomal RNA is filed under the name uncultured bacterium. RNAcentral's name for it is "bacterial SSU rRNA". It matches the Rfam family "Bacterial small subunit ribosomal RNA", at positions 29 to 506 of the family's 1533-position model. The record is from RNAcentral.